This 465-nucleotide ribosomal RNA is filed under the name uncultured bacterium. Its description in RNAcentral is "partial 16S ribosomal RNA". It matches the Rfam family "Bacterial small subunit ribosomal RNA", at positions 28 to 507 of the family's 1533-position model. The record is from RNAcentral.
GACGAACGCUGGCGGCGUGCUUAACACAUGCAAGUCGAACGGAAAGGCCCUGCUUGCAGGGUACUCGAGUGGCGAACGGGUGAGUAACACGUGGGUGAUCUGCCCUGCACUUCGGGAUAAGCCUGGGAAACUGGGUCUAAUACCGGAUAGGAGCCAUUUUUAGUGUGAUGGUUGGAAAGUUUUUUCGGUGUAGGAUGAGCUCGCGGCCUAUCAGCUUGUUGGUGGGGUAAUGGCCUACCAAGGCGGCGACGGGUAGCCGGCCUGAGAGGGUGGACGGCCACAUUGGGACUGAGAUACGGCCCAGACUCCUACGGGAGGCAGCAGUGGGGAAUAUUGUACAAUGGGCGCAAGCCUGAUGCAGCGACGCCGCGUGGGGGAGGACGGCCUUCGGGUUGUAAACUCCUUUCGCUAGGGACGAAGCUUUUUGUGACGGUACCUAGAUAAGAAGCACCGGCUAACUACGUG